This is a long non-coding RNA of Triticum aestivum (bread wheat), 1474 nucleotides long. RefSeq lists it as uncharacterized. The transcript has 4 exons. The record is from RefSeq and is a predicted model, not a curated record. NCBI's taxonomy places the organism in Eukaryota, Viridiplantae, Streptophyta, Magnoliopsida, Poales, Poaceae.
CCCGUGGCAACGCCGCGACGAGGAAAUCUUUUAGUUACAUUACAUCGUUGGCCUUCUUCCUGUGACAGAGAAAGUUAUGGACAUGGUAGAGGCUGCCGAGAGGAGUUCCCUUGCUGCAACCUCCAAUGGUAUUUCCGGUGCAGUGUCCAAGAGGGGGAGGUUCAGACUUCAGAGCAAUGAUAACAAGGAGCUCGAUCAAAAAUCACCUAUGAAAAAUAUGUCGUUCUUCUCUACAGGGGUUGAAUGUGGAAUUUGAGGAGAAUCUGUGCACCAGCAUCCGACUCCUUGAUGUUGCUCUGGUCAUAUUGUGUAAAUAUAUUUCUAAUAAAGCAAUCGCCCGAUGGUGUACAUGUUAGAAAUAACAAGAUGUAAUCAUCAAGUGUGAGAGAUGGCAACAUCAUGAUGGGAUGCAGCCAAGCCAACAACAGAGCCAGGCUUAGGCCUAAUGAUGACUUGACAAAUAUGAUCAAGAUGCUGAAGAUGAGGAAUCUGACGAAACUGAAGAAAUAGGGGGUACUCUUAGCUUUAGUUCCUUAUAUCAUUUUUUGAUAUUCAUUGCUAUGUAUCUGUAUAAACUUGCUUCGGCCAUUAUUGACAAUUGGUCAGCAAAAGAAUUGCAUAUCUCUACCCAUCCAGAAUAAGCGGAUGAGAUGAUGUGCAUUCAUUUGGUGGCACAAAAUCAAUUUCCUUUGCCAACUAAUAGUACAUAAAUUAAGAAAAUUAAUACAGUUGGCAGCUCUUCACUGCAUGUUUUGAAAUGUUUCGUGUGCUUGUCCUACCAAGUUACUUAUAGAAGCAGGUACAACAUGCUAAGUAAGCAUCCAAUUAUUUACCCUAUUUUUUGUAUCAAUUCGAGAAAGACGAGAACGAUGGCUGGAAGGCAGGGCGUUGUUGGAUGGAAGGAAGAGUGAGAGAGAUAGGAGCGGCAUGAGGUGACAAGUUCAAUGGGGUUGCCAAGGAGGUUUGAGGGAAACAGGCCGCCAUUGAGAUUUUUAUAUCCGCUGGCAUGCACGCUUGCUUGCUGAUGUGCGCGUUUGGCUGUUGUUGCUGCGCAUGUGUGCGUGGUAUGCCCCUGCCACUGUGUAUCGCUGCAAUGUUGUGUGCUUGCUGCUGCUGAUCAGCGUGUGUGUGCGGUUGUGCGGUUGCUGUCGCGUUUUCUGGUAAAACCACCAUGCACUUCUUUUUCUUGUGCUGAACAAUUCAUGAUCACUAUACCACUGAACUCUUUCUUGAACAGAAGCCACGUGAACUUAGUUUGAGCUCUUAUGUUGUUAAAUGAAGCAUGAUUUUUAGUAAGCUGAACAAUAGUUCUGAUUUCCUCACUUAACAGGAAAUUUUCAGUUCUAUUUGUAUUGUUCUAAUCAGUUGUUUUUACACUACUAUGUAACCAGCACUCUUAUAUAUCAAGUGAUUAUAGCAUCUUGAUUAUUUCUGUAUUGACUUUCCUUUCUCAGAUUACUGAUCCAUGGUCUUC